AGAGUUUGAUCCUGGCUCAGAACGAACGCUGGCGGCGUGCUUAAUACAUGCAAGUCGAACGAGAAAGUCAUUCUUCGGAAAGACGAGUAAAGUGGCGAACGGGUGCGUAACACGUGGGCAAUCUGCCCUCAGGUUUGGAAUAAGCCUCCGAAAGGGGGUCUAAUACCGAAUAACAUCACGAGAUGGCAUCGUCUUGUGAUCAAAGGUGGUGAAAGCUAUCGCCAGAGGAUGAGCCCGCGGUACAUUAGCUUGUUGGUGGGGUAAAGGCCUACCAAGGCUGCGAUGUAUAGCCGGCCUGGGAGGGUGACCGGCCACACUGGGACUGAGAUACGGCCCAGACUCCUACGGGAGGCAGCAGUAGGGAAUAUUGCGCAAUGCCCGAAAGGGUGACGCAGCAACGCCGCGUGUGGGAUGAAGCAUCUUGGUGUGUAAACCACUGUCAGAUGGGACGAACAGCUACGGAAAGAAACGUCCGUAGCCUGACGGUACCUUCAGAGGAAGCUCCGGCCAACUCCGUGCCAGCAGCCGCGGUAACACGGGGGGAGCAAGCGUUGUUCGGAAUUACUGGGCGUAAAGGGUGCGCAGGCGGAAAGGCAGGUCAGAUGUGAAAACUCAGGGCUCAACCCUGAGCCUGCAUCUGAAACCAUCUUUCUUGAGUAUCAGAGAGGAAAGCGGAACUCCAGGUGUAGCGGUGAAAUGCGUAGAUAUCUGGAGGAACACCGGUGGCGAAGGCGGCUUUCUGGCUGAAUACUGACGCUCAUGCACGAAGGCUGGGGUAGCAAACAGGAUUAGAUACCCUGGUAGUCCCAGCAGUAAACGAUGGACACUAGGUGUUGGGGGAGUCGACCCCCUCAGUGCCGAAGCUAACGCAUUAAGUGUCCCGCCUGGGGAGUACGACCGCAAGGUUGAAACUCAAAGGAAUUGACGGGGGCCCGCACAAGCAGUGGAGCAUGUGGUUUAAUUCGACGCAACGCGAAGAACCUUACCUGGGUUUGAAAUGUUCAGGAAAAUCUCAGAGAUGAGAUCCCUCCGCAAGGAGUCUGUUCACAGGUGCUGCAUGGCUGUCGUCAGCUCGUGCCGUGAGGUGUUGGGUUAAGUCCCGCAACGAGCGCAACCCCUGUCUCUAGUUGCCAGCGAUUCGGUCGGGGACUCUAGAGAGACUGCCGGUGACAAGCCGGAGGAAGGUGGGGAUGACGUCAAGUCCUCAUGGCCCUUACAUCCAGGGCUACACACGUGCUACAAUGACCGGUACAGAGGGCCGCAAGACCGCGAGGUGGAGCUAAUCCCUAAAACCGGCCUCAGUUCGGAUUGGAGUCCGCAACUCGACUCCAUGAAGUCGGAAUUGCUAGUAAUCGCGAAUCAGCAGGUCGCGGUGAAUACGUUCCCGGGCCUUGUACACACCGCCCGUCAAGCCAUGGAAGCCGGGAGUACACGAAAUCGUUGAGCUAACCGUAAGGAGGCCAACGCCUAAGGUAAAAUCGGUGACUGGGGCUAAGUCGUAACAAGGUA
Molecule: ribosomal RNA, 1509 nt
Filed under: metagenome
Description: bacterial SSU rRNA
Rfam family: Bacterial small subunit ribosomal RNA
Source: RNAcentral